AGAGCGAACGCUGGCGGCAGGCUUAACACAUGCAAGUCGAGCGGGCGUAGCAAUACGUCAGCGGCAGACGGGUGAGUAACGCGUGGGAACGUACCUUUUGGUUCGGAACAACCCAGGGAAACUUGGGCUAAUACCGGAUAAGCCCUUACGGGGAAAGAUUUAUCGCCGAAAGAUCGGCCCGCGUCUGAUUAGCUAGUUGGUGAGGUAAUGGCUCACCAAGGCGACGAUCAGUAGCUGGUCUGAGAGGAUGAUCAGCCACAUUGGGACUGAGACACGGCCCAAACUCCUACGGGAGGCAGCAGUGGGGAAUAUUGGACAAUGGGCGCAAGCCUGAUCCAGCCAUGCCGCGUGAGUGAUGAAGGCCCUAGGGUUGUAAAGCUCUUUUGUGCGGGAAGAUAAUGACGGUACCGCAAGAAUAAGCCCGGACUAACUUCGCGCCAGCAGCCGC
Molecule: ribosomal RNA, 448 nt
Filed under: uncultured bacterium
Lineage: Bacteria
Description: SSU rRNA
Rfam family: Bacterial small subunit ribosomal RNA
Source: RNAcentral